GAUUGCAAAUUCCGACAGCAGGAGGCGGCCGUCCUGCUUAUAUAUUCAGCAGAGGGAUCUGCCAGACCAUGACGGACGGCGCCAGCUCUUCCUGGUGGGGCUGCCGGGCCUUCCUGUGCACCCGGCGGUGGCCCUGCCCUCCACAGACCACCAGCGCCGAGUUGGCCUUGGCUUUCUUGGCCCGGCGUGCUUUGCUUCUCAGCGAGACAGGAUCCUUCAGGAGGUCAUAGAUGGUGCUGUCCUCUGAUCUGUGCUCUAGAGAGCUGGAGCCGUGAGACAAGCUCAGGGACCCAGACGAGGAGGACACGUCGCUUUUCUGAGUCAUCGAUCCCAGCGAAUCUCCCAACCAGAUGGCUGCGUCAGGGUCGCCCUGGCUCAGGGAUGAACCGGCUCCUUCACUCGGAAGUGCGUCCUUCUGGUCUUCGUCCUGGGGCUCGGGGCCGGGAGCCAGGCUGUCCCUGGAUUUGUCCUUGUCUUUCUCGUGCAGAGCCGUGGCCAGGACGAUGAAUUUGACAGGACCGUUGUGUGCAUGGUAGGAGACCAUGCCUCUUCCUGAAAAGGGAAACAGUUCAACAGCUGUCUUUUAAAAUAGGCAAAAUUUGAGAGAAGGAAGCAAAAACCCCAACACAUUCCUCCCUGCCCAAAUAACGAAGCCUGUGAUGUGAUUCAAAUUUUCAAGUCAUGAUCGUAUCAGAAACACCUGCAGGUCUUCUUAAUGCCACACAGAGCCCCGAAACCCCCACACUGAUUCUGUAAGCAUCACGUGGGCCUGGCGUGUCUUCUGGAUGCUUCGUGGGUGACGUGACAUAUGGACAGUGGCACGUGUCCUUUCCCCAAGUGCUUUCAGAUGAAACAGGCCCCAGCCCUCACCAUCAUCCUACUCUGGCCAAGGCAGAUGACAUCACUGAAUCUUCCACCAUGGUGAGAGUCCAUUUCCCAAAGAGGAGAGUGGCAAAGUGAAGUCUGCAGGGAGCAGGAGCUGGGGGGACUGUGCAGGGACAGGGCCGCUCAUCACCUGGCGAAGCACACACCUAUGUUCCCCGCACACCAGCGAUGCUGCCCCUGGGCAUGCCCCCAGAAGGAGCUUCUGGGCAUGCCCCCAGAAGGAGCUUCUGCCCAUGUCAGCAGAGUCAGCCACACAAAUAUUCAGAGACUUGAUGUGUAAUGCAAAUGGGUAGCACCUAGCUACCAUCCAGAGAAACACAGUGAGUGCACCUCCUUUCAGGAAGCACCUAGCUACCCAUCCAGAGAAACACAGUGAGAGUGCACCUCCUUUCAGGGAGCACCUAGCUACCCACCCAGAGAAACUAUGAGAGUGCACCUCCUUUCAGGAUGCACCUAGCUACCCAUCCAGAGAAACACAAUGAGUCCACCUCCUUUCAGGAAGCACCUAGCUACCCAUCUAGAGAAACAGUGAGAGUGCACCUCCUUUCAGGAAGCACCUAGCUACCCAUCCAGUGAAACAGUGAGAGUGCACCUCCUUUCAGGAUGCACCUAGCUACCCAUCCAGAGAAACAGUGAGAGUGCACCUCCUUUCAGGAAGCACCUAGCUACCCAUCCAGAGAAACACAGUGAGUGCACCUCCUUUCAGGAAGCACCUAGCUACCCAUCCAGAGAAACACAGUGAGUCCACCUCCUUUCAGGAAGCACCUAGCUACCCACCGGGAGAAACGGUGAGAGUGCACCUCCUUUCAGGGAGCACCUAGCUACCCAACCAGAGAAACAGUGAGAGUGCACCUCCUUUCAGGAAGCACCUAGCUACCCCUCCAGAGGAACACAGUGAGUGCACCUCCUUUGAGGAAGCACCUGGCUACCCAUCCAGAGAAACAGUGAGAGGGCACCUCCUUUCAGGAAGCACCUAGCUACCCAUCCAGGGAAACAGUGAGAGUGCACCUCCUUUCAGGGAGCACCUAGCUACCCAUCCAGAGAAACACAGUGAGUGCACCUCCUUUUAGGAAGCACCUAGCUACCCAUCCAGAGAAACAGAGUGCACCUCCUUUCAGGAAGCACCUAGCUACCCAACCAGAGAAACAGUGAGAGUGCACCUCCUUUUAGGAUGCACCUGGCUAUCCAUCCAGAGGAACAGUGAGAGUGCACCUCCUUUCAGGGAGCACCUGGCUAUCCAUCCAGAGGAACACAAUGAGGGCACCUCCUUUCAGAGGCAGGCUGCAGGCAGGGAGAGGAAAGCACUGUAGCUGCGGCACCAGCAGGGACUGACCCCAGCAAUGCCUAGAGAAAAAGCGACAGAGGCUGUGUGCACCACGGGACAGCUACAGAAAAUGCAAAAACAGGAAAGGUGAAAAGAACCCUUUAAGAUACAAAUUGGUACAACUACAGAGGAGGACCAAAGGAAUAAUUGACAUAAAACUCAGCAACAUCAUUUCCUAGGGUGUGAGCGGAGAGGGCUGAGGCUGAGAAGGGGCGGCUGAGGCUCAGUGUGUGAGUCACAGCCCCUUCUGAGCUGGGCACAGGCAUGUGGCCUCUUCUCAUUACCAUUUAAACUGUGAAACUGCAUUAUGCACAAUUCUAUGUAUUUACAGGCUGAGUGUCACUUAUCUGAAAUUGUUGGGACCACAAGUGUUUUGGAUUUUUUUUUUUUAAUGUUGGAAUAUUUGCAUUGCACUUGCUGGUUGAGCAUCCCAAAUCUGAAAUCCAAAAUCUGAAUACCUCCAAUGAGCACUGCCUUUCAGCAUCACGUCGACACAGAAUCUGGAGCAUCUGAGGCCAAGGCAGGCGAAUCACUUGAGGUCAGGAGUUCGAGACCAGCCUGGCCAACAUGAUGAAACCUCAUCUCUACUAAAAAUACAAAAA
Molecule: long non-coding RNA, 2811 nt
Organism: Pongo pygmaeus (Bornean orangutan)
Lineage: Eukaryota; Metazoa; Chordata; Mammalia; Primates; Hominidae
Exons: 2
Source: RefSeq, a predicted model, not a curated record